ACCUGCGGAGGGAUCAUUAAAGAGUUUUUACAACUCCCAAACCCCUGUGAACAUACCUUCUGUUGCCUCGGCAGGCCCUGGCCUACCCUGUAGCGCCCCUACAUUGUAGGGCCUGCUUUAGGGGGGGCGCUGGGGGAACCUGCCGGCGGCCCGCAAAACUCUGUUUAGCAUUGAAUUCUGAACGUAUAACUAAAUAAGUUAAAACUUUCAACAACGGAUCUCUUGGUUCUGGCAUCGAUGAAGAACGCAGCGAAAUGCGAUAAGUAAUGUGAAUUGCAGAAUUCAGUGAAUCAUCGAAUCUUUGAACGCACAUUGCGCCCAUUAGUAUUCUAGUGGGCAUGCCUGUUCGAGCGUCAUUUCAACCCUUAAGCCCCUGUUGCUUAGCGUUGGGAGCCUACGGAAGCGUAGCUCCCUAAAGUUAGUGGCGUGGUCGGUUCACACUCCAGACGUAGUAGAUUUUCACCUCGCCUGUAGCUGGACCGGUCCCCUGCCGUAAAACACCCCAAUUUUUAAAGGUUGACCUCGGAUCAGGUAGGAAUACCCGCUGAACUUAAGCAUAUCAUAGCCCGGAGGAA
RNAcentral lists this ribosomal RNA (575 nucleotides) under Xylariaceae sp. E8924C. RNAcentral's name for it is "eukaryotic LSU rRNA". The stretch from base 203 to 356 matches the Rfam family "5.8S ribosomal RNA". The record is from RNAcentral. Lineage: Eukaryota; Fungi; Ascomycota; Sordariomycetes; Xylariales; Xylariaceae.